This 49-nucleotide non-coding RNA is filed under the name Schistosoma margrebowiei. The record is from RNAcentral. Lineage: Eukaryota; Metazoa; Platyhelminthes; Trematoda; Strigeidida; Schistosomatidae.
AUCUAGCUGACGAGUACUAAAAUAAGACGAAACGCACGUCAAAAUGGAU